GCAAGAAAGGUGAUUGGAUGUGGCCCACUUCAUUUUUCAGUGAAGGAGGAGGGCAGGAAUGGGGAGGAUAGAUAGAUGGGGAAAUUCAGUCUAAAAUAAGACUAAAUAAGGCUAAAAAUAAAUGUAUGGCUUUCCAAUGGCCUCCAUCUCCAACAAAAAUUACAUUUUAAGUUAGGUUAAGUUUUUUUUAUAUCUAUUCAAUUGGUUCCUGUUGAGACUGCAGUAUAAUUCCUUUCACUAUAUGACUCCUUUCUUACCACCCAACAAUCCAUUGUGUGUCUAAAGUGACCAAUUGAGUAUGAAAAGUUGGCAGUGGGGAUAGAUAAUCUCAGCAAUAAGAGGAGAGAAUCCCAUGCCAGAGAAUUCAAGGAAUAUGUGCUACAUGUGGUACAUAUAGGGCAACAUUGAAGAGACCAAGAGUAGACUAUCUCACUUCUGGUACGUGGAUGAGACCCAGAUGGAACCCUCUAACUCAAAUGAUAAAGCUUAUAAGCAAGGAUGUCAGGGACAAAUGAGACGCUUUCAACACCUGAGCUGACUUUUGCUCAGCACUUGUAGAGUUGACUUCAGCCAACAUAAAGCAGGGGCCUCAGGAAAGAGUAGGGUACAGCCCUAGCUGGAACCUGGCAUAGUCCACUACCCGGAAUUAGCCAAACUACAAAGUUUGAAGACAGUCUCUCCACAAGACCACUAUGGUUUCUGACACCAACUGUCACUCUCUCUGGAGUAGUCAAGCUGCCAUGUCAUAACCAACCCUAUGCAGAGGCCCAUGAGGGGAGAAACUGAGGCCCUUGUACCAAUGGCCAUGUGAGGAUUGUUCUUCUCCAGCAAACCUUCAGUGACAACAGCCCCAGCCAACAUCUGGACUGUAUUCUCAUGAGAAACUCUAAACCAGACCCAUCCAACUAAGCUCUUUCUAGAUUCCUGGAUAGAUAAUAAAUGGUUGUUGUAAGCUGCUGAA
Long non-coding RNA from Canis lupus familiaris (dog), 961 nucleotides. RefSeq lists it as uncharacterized. The record is from RefSeq and is a predicted model, not a curated record. The transcript has 2 exons. Lineage: Eukaryota; Metazoa; Chordata; Mammalia; Carnivora; Canidae.